This 394-nucleotide ribosomal RNA is filed under the name uncultured bacterium. Its description in RNAcentral is "partial 16S ribosomal RNA". It matches the Rfam family "Bacterial small subunit ribosomal RNA", at positions 338 to 729 of the family's 1533-position model. The record is from RNAcentral.
CCUACGGGAGGCUGCAGUGAGGAAUAUUGGUCAAUGGGCGCGAGCCUGAACCAGCCAAGUAGCGUGAAGGAUGACUGCCCUACGGGUUGUAAACUUCUUUUAUAAAGGAAUAAAGUGAGGCACGUGUGCCUUUUUGUAUGUACUUUAUGAAUAAGGAUCGGCUAACUCCGUGCCAGCAGCCGCGGUAAUACGGAGGAUCCGAGCGUUAUCCGGCUUUAUUGGGUUUAAAGGGAGCGUAGAUGGGUUGUUAAGUCAGUUGUGAAAGGUUGCGGCUCAACGGAAAAAUUGCAAUUGAUACUGGAGGACUGGAGUACAGUAGAGGGAGGCGGAAUGCGUGGUGUAGCGGUGAAAUGCUUAGAUAUCACGAAGAACUCAGAUUGCGAAGGCAGCGGAC